UCCAACGGGUAUUUUGCUUUACUAUCACCUACCGAAAAGCUUGUCUUCUUCACUACCGAAAAAUUUGUGAAUUUGUGGUUUCCCUCAUUUGAGCUCCUUCGAAUUUGUGUUCCAGCUACACUAUUCUUUCUCACUAUUAAUUCCGAAUUUCUACUCGCCAAUAUCUCUCUAAAACCCCUCUCUCUCUCUCUCCCCCCCCCCCCCCCUUCAUUUCUCUCUCUUCAAAAAUACAAUCAGAGGCAGCGCACCGAGAUCAGCUCAACACUUCUCUCAGGCAAGCUUUUUCUGCUUUCAUUUUCAAUACUCAAUUUGUGUAGUAUGUGUUUUACUCGAGUUUGUCGAUUGUUUGUAUCUGCUUCUUCGUGUUUUUUGCUGAUUUUGUAUAUAUGUGCUAGCUAUCGCCGAUUUUUUUAUUGAGGCUCUGCUUUGGUGCAUUCUAAUUGAAGCUCUACUUUCGAAUUGAAGCUCAGUCUCACAGUAGCCAUUCUAAUUUGUCACAUAGAAGAUUACUAGAGCUGCACGCUCCUAAGUUGUUUUGUGGAUUGCUAUUCCGAUUGAGGCGUUUGAGCUGCACACGAGAUACUUGUGAAAUUAGCUAGCAUUUGUGCUGUGAGUUUGGACCCGAAGAGUUUGAAGUUAAUUUGCAACCAUUCUUUCAUGUUAAGGUUGCACCCAAGCAUUGGAGGCUGGAGAUCAAUUUCAGCCAGGAUGCAGUGCUGAUGCUUUCAUCAAUAAGCUUACCUAAUGGCAUCCAGGCUGAAGUUCGUGGCUUCCAACAUGACGGCUCCUUGCACCUACAACAAUUUCAGUGAAAGGGCAUAAAUUGCUUGAUAUAUUGAACCUUCAUAAGGGGUCACCAAAUAAAGGUCAAGAAUAGUAUGCUAAAAAGAGUGGAUGUUGAGGAUAAUCUUUCCCAAAUGAAAACAUUUUCUUAAUCAUGUUUUACACAUGUAAUUGCAUAUAUUUCACCGUGCCCCAUAUAUAUUGGUGGUUGACCUUGUUAUUUGAGUUAAUUGCAUAAAUAUUCAAGAGCUUAUUUGACAUGGAUAAUAGCAACAUCUAUUUCUUCUA
Salvia miltiorrhiza (redroot sage) is the source of this 1071-nucleotide long non-coding RNA. RefSeq lists it as uncharacterized. The record is from RefSeq and is a predicted model, not a curated record. Lineage: Eukaryota; Viridiplantae; Streptophyta; Magnoliopsida; Lamiales; Lamiaceae. The transcript has 4 exons.